RNAcentral lists this ribosomal RNA (214 nucleotides) under uncultured Lactobacillus sp. RNAcentral's name for it is "partial 16S ribosomal RNA". It matches the Rfam family "Bacterial small subunit ribosomal RNA", at positions 149 to 354 of the family's 1533-position model. Lineage: Bacteria; Bacillati; Bacillota; Bacilli; Lactobacillales; Lactobacillaceae. The record is from RNAcentral.
CCUGGAAACAAGAUGCUUAAUACCGGAUAAUAACAGAUGAUGCCUAUCAACUGUUUAAAAGAUGGUUCUGCUAUCACUCUUGGAUGGACCUGCGGUGCAUUAGCUAGUUGGUAGGGUAACGGCCUACCAAGCGAUGAUGCAUAGCCGAGUUGAGAGACUGAUCGGCCACAUUGGGACUGAGACACGGCCCAAACUCCUACGGGAGGCAGCAGGC